Non-coding RNA from Danio rerio (zebrafish), 54 nucleotides. The record is from Rfam. NCBI's taxonomy places the organism in Eukaryota, Metazoa, Chordata, Actinopteri, Cypriniformes, Danionidae.
CUUGUCCUCAUGUGUAAGUCGCUUUGGAUAAAAGCGUCUGCUAAAUGACUAAAU